UAUUUUUAUGAAGAGCGGCGAACGGGUGAGUAACGCGUGGGAAAUCUGCCGAGUAGCGGGGGACAACGUUUGGAAACGAACGCUAAUACCGCAUAACAAUGAGAAUCGCAUGAUUCUUAUUUAAAAGAAGCAAUUGCUUCACUACUUGAUGAUCCCGCGUUGUAUUAGCUAGUUGGUAGUGUAAAGGACUACCAAGGCGAUGAUACAUAGCCGACCUGAGAGGGUGAUCGGCCACACUGGGACUGAGACACGGCCCAGACUCCUACGGGAGGCAGCAGUAGGGAAUCUUCGGCAAUGGGGGCAACCCUGACCGAGCAACGCCGCGUGAGUGAAGAAGGUUUUCGGAUCG
Molecule: ribosomal RNA, 349 nt
Filed under: Lactococcus garvieae
Lineage: Bacteria; Bacillati; Bacillota; Bacilli; Lactobacillales; Streptococcaceae
Description: bacterial SSU rRNA
Rfam family: Bacterial small subunit ribosomal RNA
Source: RNAcentral